UACGUAGGUGGCAAGCGUUGUCCGGAUUUACUGGGCGUAAAGGGCGUGCAGGCGGUUUGUUAAGUGCAGGGUGAAAGCUCCCGGCUCAACUGGGAGAGGUCCUUGCAUACUGGCGAACUCGAGGGAGGCAGAGGAAAGUGGAAUUCCCGGUGUAGUGGUGAUAUGCGUAGAUAUCAGGAGGAACACCCAUGGCGAAGGCAGCAAACUGGUCCGUAUCUGACGCUGAGGCGCGAAAGCGUGGGUAGCAAACAGG
Molecule: ribosomal RNA, 253 nt
Filed under: uncultured bacterium
Lineage: Bacteria
Description: partial 16S ribosomal RNA
Rfam family: Bacterial small subunit ribosomal RNA
Source: RNAcentral